GACGAACGCUGGCGGCGUGCCUAACACAUGCAAGUCGAGCGGGGUUGAAGCGAGAGGUAACUCGAACUUCUACCUAGCGGCGGACGGGUGAGUAACGCGUGGGCAACCUGCCUCAAGGUCUGGGAUAACAGCCCGAAAGGGCUGCUAAUACUGGGUAUGCUUGUGGCCUCGCAUGGGGCUAUGAGCAAAGGGGAAACCCGCCUUGAGAUGGGCCCGCGUCCCAUCAGCUAGUUGGUGAGGUAACAGCUCACCAAGGCGACGACGGGUAGCCGGCCUGAGAGGGUGACCGGCCACACUGGGACUGAGACACGGCCCAGACUCCUACGGGGGGCAGCAGUGGGGGAUCUUGCACAAUGGGCGAAAGCCUGAUGCAGCGACGCCGCGUGAGCGAAGAAGGCCUUCGGGUUGUAAGCUCUGUCUGGAGGGACGGAAGGAAGUGACGGUACCUCCGGAGGAAGCACGGCUAACUACGUGCCAGCAGCCGCGGUAAAUCACGUGUA
RNAcentral lists this ribosomal RNA (500 nucleotides) under uncultured bacterium. RNAcentral describes it as "bacterial SSU rRNA". It matches the Rfam family "Bacterial small subunit ribosomal RNA", at positions 28 to 533 of the family's 1533-position model. The record is from RNAcentral.